RNAcentral lists this long non-coding RNA (6671 nucleotides) under Homo sapiens (human). RNAcentral describes it as "HSALNT0291079". The stretch from base 2687 to 2834 matches the Rfam family "Metazoan signal recognition particle RNA". The record is from RNAcentral. Lineage: Eukaryota; Metazoa; Chordata; Mammalia; Primates; Hominidae.
GCAACCUCCGCCUCUCAGGUUCAAGCGAUUCCCGUCACAGCCUCCUGAGUAGCUGGGAUUACAGGCAUGGGCCACCAUGCCCAGCUAUUUCUGUAUUUUUAGUAGAGACAGGGUUUCACCGUGUUGGUCAGGCUGGUCUCGAACUCCUGACCUCAGGUGAUCCACCCACCUCAGCCUCCCAAAAUGCUGGGAUUACAGGUGUGAGCCACCACACCUGGUGUAGUUUUUGUUGUUGUUGUUUUGAGAUGGAAUUUCACUCGUUGCCCAGGCUGGAGUGCAAUGGCGUGAUCUCGGCUCACUGCAACCUCCACCUCCUGAUUUCAAGCAUUCUCCUACCUCAGCCUCCCGAGUAGCUGGAAUUACAGGCAUGUGCCACCACGCCCAGGUAAUUUUUGCAUUUUUAGCAGAGACAGGGUUUCACCAUGUUGGCCAGGCUAGUCUCGAUCUCCUGACCUCAUGUGAUCCACCCACCUUGGCCUCCCAAAGUGCUGGGAUUACAGGUGUGAGCCACCGCACCUGGUCCAGACUACUUGUUUGUUUUUGAGAUGGAGUUUUGCUCUUGUUGCCUAUACUGGAGUGCGAUGGCACUGUCUUGGCUCACUGAAACCUCCUCCUCCCAGGUUUGAGCAAUUCUCCUGCCUCAGCCUCCCGAAGUGCUGGGAUCUCCCCUCCUCGGCCUCCCAAAGUGCUGGAAUUACAGGCAUAAGCCACCACGCCCGGAUGCCAGUUUACUUCUUUAUGCCUCUGUUUCCUCCUCUAUGGAGGGCUAUUAGGAUCAAACCCCUCAGCUCUGGUAGCAGCAAACACAGCACAGUUGAGGGAUGGCUUUUCUGGCCUUCAGCUGGUGCUCGCUUCUCCCCCCUGUAGAGUGUGAGACUGAGGCUACUGAUUGCAUCUCUUCAGCCACAUCCUCUGGGCUGGCUGUUAGGGACCAGAAAGGAAGCAGCCCUGGGCCCUAUCCAGAUGCCUCAGGGGUUGGGGUGAAGACUCAUCCACCAAAAGUGGAAGAAGCCACAGCUGACUGCUUCAGGAGGCAUGCCCCCAUAACCUCAGGCAGACGCUUCACUUCUCUGGCCUGUUUCUGCCUCAAACUGUGUCCGGAAUUGGUGGGUUCUUGGUCUCACUGACUUCAAGAAUGAAGCCGUGGACCCUCGUGGUGAGUGUUACAGUUCUUAAAGGCGGCGUGUCCGGAGUUUUUUCCUUCUGAUGUUCGGAUGUGUUCGGAGUUUCUUCCUUCUGGUGGGGUUCGUGGUCUUCCCGGCUCAGGAGUGAAGCUGCAAACCUUCGUGAGACAGGAUCUCACCAUGUUGCCCAAACUCCUGGCCUCCAGCGAUCCUCCCACCUCAGUCUCCCAGAGUGUUGGAAUUACAGAUGUGAGCCACCGCUCCCAGCUUUUUCAAAUUAUUGAAUGUUCCAGUGGACUCAGCCUGGAUCAGACAUCUAUCUCCAGUCCAAUCAGCUAAGGACUAGAGGGAGGGAGAGAACAGGGUCAGGAAGCCUGGACAGGCUGGACACGUGGAUUCUCUCAGAAGCCUGGGAGGUGGUGAUGGGGGUCCCUGCAAGUGACUGGCAGCCUAGGGAGUGCGCAGGCUGGACCUUGGGAGUUGGGUGAUCCAAGGGCUUGAAGUAGGGCUGCUGGCUGGAAGUGGGACUGUGGGCACUCACCUGCCACCCGUGUGUCCAGCAGAAGAGUGAGGCUGGAGGGUCCUAUGAAGAUCUGCUUCUCACUUCUCCCUUUGGGAGGGCUUAUAGGUCACAGGUCACAGCAAGGCACAUGGGGUAGGAGAAGCCUCCAUUGAGGAAAUUACAUAUAUGCCCUCCCCCGCACCACCGCUGCCACUGUAAAUUAAGAAAAAAGCACUGUUGUGUUGGAAGGUGUGCCUUAGAGGGGGAGCAGGGCAACAGCCAGCCCUGGCUGACACCAAGAAAUGUGUGUUUGGCUGGGCAUGGUGGCUCACACCUGUACUCCCAGCACUUUGGAAGGCUGAGGCGGGUAGAUAGUUUGAGGCCACACGUUCAAGACCAGCGUGGGCAACAUAGCAAAGCCCUGUCUCUGAAACAUAAAGAAAGAAAAUGAAAGAAAAAGAAAGAAAGGGAGGGAGGGAGGGAGGGAGGGGCCGGGCCCAGUGGCUCAUGGCUGUAAUCCCAACACUUCGAGAGGCCAAGGCGGGUGGAUCACCUGAGGUCAGGAGUUUGAGACUAGCCUGGCCAACAUGGUGAAACCCUGUCUCUACUAAAAAUUAAAAAAAAAAUUAGCCGGGCAUGAUGGCGCAUGCCUGUAGUGCCAGCUACUCGGGAGGCUGAGGCAGGAGAAUUGCCAGAACCGGAAAGCAGAGGUUGCAGUAAGCCAAGAUCGUGCCAGUGCACUCCAGCCUGGGCAACAGAGGGACUCCGUCUCAAAAAAAAAAAAAAAAAAAGAAAAGAAAAAGAAAAGAAAGAAAAGAAAAAAAAAAGUAAAGAAAGAAAGGAGGGAGGGAGGAAGGGAAGGAAGAAAGGAAGGAGAAAGAAAGAAGAAAAGAAAGAAAAGGAAGGAAGGAAGAAAGAAAGAGAAAGGCCGGGCGCAGUGGCUUAUGCCUGUAAUCCCAGCACUUUGGGAGGCCGAGGCGGUUGGAUCACGAGGUCAGGAGUUCGAGACCAGCCUGGGCAACAUGGUGAAACCCCGUCUCUACUAAAAUACAAAAAAUUAGCCGGGCGUGGUGGCGGGUGCCUGUAGUCCCAGCUACUCGGGAGGCUGAGGCAGAAGAAUCGCUUGAACCCAGGAGGCGGAGGUUGCAGUGAGCCGAGAUUGUGCCACUGCACUCCAGCCUGGGUGACAGAGCAAGACUCUGUCUCAAAAAAAAAAAAAGAAAAAGAAAAAAAAAAGAAAGAGAAAGGAGAGGAGAAGGAAAGAAGAAAGGAAGGAAGGAAGGAAGGAAAAAAGGAAGGAGAAAGAAAAAGGGAAAGAAAGAAGAAAGAGAAGAGGAGGAAGAAGGGAGGGAGGGAGGGAGGGAAACUGCGUGCACCGUGCAACACUGUGAUUGGAGUGACUUGUUACUCCAGUGUAACCCACUGCCAACAGCCUGGUACUCGAGGCCGUAGUAAGCUCUUGUUAAAUAGUUGGAAAUGGGAUGAUUGCCAGUUACAGAACAAUGGGCCUGGCUCAUGCUGCCAGAGUAGUUUGAGAGCGGGUUCUUGCUAGAGCAAGAGAGAGGGGAGUUAGUCUUCGCUUGCAGCUGGAGCAGUAGCUGUCCCGAGUGGGCAGGGAGGCCCUGGCCCUCUCCUUCCUGUUGCUCUGCCCUCCCUCGGGUGUGGCACUCUCCCUGUUUGGUGGUUGAAGACACUUGCUGUUCCCUCUCCCGAGUCUGCAGACCAUUGCAAGGCACCGAAUGCACACCCAGAACGCUCAUCCAGCACGCCCUUUUUCUCAAGUAGGGUGCGUGGCCAUGUGGGAGACAACUCGGAGUCUUUGCCACAGACACCACGGGGACACGGCUCUUCCAUUUGGUGACAAAUCGCACUGCUGGUGAGAUACUGAGCUGCGCGUCGCUGGGAAGGAAAGCAGAGGCUGGACCUCUGGGAUUCCCGGUGAGAAUCCUGCAGGGCAGGCCCCAGGUGGAGGGGGCGACCCCGGUCUCCAGGGCCGGGGGAGGCAGCGAGGCCCAAGGACAGGCGGCGGAGGCGGGAGGCGGCGAAUGGGCUCCUCCCGAGGCCCGGACCAACCCCUGGCCGUGAGGCCGCGCCCCGCCGCGUUCAGCGAAGGGAAGCAGGCACCCCGCCCGGCUCUCCGCUGCCUCCACACUCGGGGACCCUGGGCGCUCACGUGUUCCCCUCUGGGCCUCAGGAUUCAAGGAUGCGCCCUCUUGCAAACAGUCCGUGGCCUGCGACAGAAAGAAAACCCCUGGGAGCGGUCGGGGUGGGGACCCACAAAACGCUGUGGCUAAACCGCAUGGCGCCAAGCCCGAUCGGAGCGUGGCGUGGGAAUCGAGUCAAAUUUACCCUGCUAGGUGCGGCUCCAACAAGGUCCCGGGUACUCCUCUAACGCCCAGUGAGGGCAGCACUGCCUUUGUCCCUGCCCCACGGACAGGACACGGAGGCUCCGACAUACAAAAGGACUUAACCCGAGGGGAAAUGUUAGAGCCGGGCUCCAACCCAGGACUUCCUGAGUCUAAGCCCAAUCUGGCCCUAGACGAGCUGCCACGGUGGGCUGCACCCUCCACGGCAGGAGCUUGCCUGGCCUUGCUUCUUAGGUGAGUGUCCAGCCCAGGCCUUUAGAAGUUUGCUUCUUUAUCAGGUCACAUGUUUUUGGACAUUUGUGAUCACUGCUUUGCCAUUGCAAAGGGGGACAAGAGGCCCAGGGAGCCCCCUCAUUUACCAGCCCCUUCCUGGGAGGCUCAGAAAGCAGCCAGCUGCCCCCACAUGCACGGUGGCCUGUGCAUCAGUGUAGCUUGGCGGGUCAUUUUACAGAGGAGGCGACCAAGGAGGUGGCAGGCUGCAGUCGGGGUCCCCAAGGUGAUACCUCCAUCUCCAGUGUCAAGGCUCUGAGGAGGGAGCUGGGGACCUCAGGAGGCAGUGGCAGUGGAGGAGCUGGUGUGGAUGAACCUGAAAGGGGCAGGAAAGGCACUUGGGCAGCCUGGAGCAGGCAGGAGUUGUCACCCGCUCUCUCUAAGCCAGCCCUGCACAAAGCCACUGGCCUUACCUCCUGCAGGUGAAGCAGGUACAGAGCUACCUUCUGCUUCCAGCCUCGGGGGUGAAAUGACCCCCUGCUAAAGUCACACAGAGUAUGGGGCAGCAUCAGGACUACAGGCCAAAUCAUCUGACUCCAGAGCCCUCUCUACACAGAGCUGGGAGGUAAAGGUAUGAAUUAUUCCCAUUUUACAGGUGAGGAAGCAAUGGCCCAGAGAGUUUAAGUAGCUUGUUCAAGGUCACACAGCAAGAAAAUAGAGACAGCCAUACCACUCCUAGAAUCUCCAGUGUCCUCACCUGCACUCAACUCAAUGUGUGAAACUCCCGACUCACGCCUGGCGUGUGCUCGGUGCACAGUCCAUGUUAGAUCCUUUGUUUGGUCUUCUACAGAUAUUUUGAAAGACAUUUUAUGUCUGUAAUAUACAGUCAGGAGAGACAGCCAAAAGGAUGUGGAGAAAAUGUCCUCAGAUGGUUGGAGGUCUUGAAGGUUUUCUUCCCAGGGACGCCAGCACCUCUGAUCACUGAGGCGAAACCCCCUGCCUGAAGUGCUUGUUCAACAUGCUUCUGCAACAUCACUUGGUCCUCGAAAAUUUCUGGUUUGGGAGAACUGCCAACGAUGCCCCUAGAGACCUUUCAAACCUCUUUGCUAAUUCCUCUUGCCAAGAGAUGCUUGAGAGGAAAAAUUAACAUGAAUAAAAGAUCAUUGAAAGAAUCUACAGGCCGGGCGCGGUGGCUGACGCCUGUAAUCCCAACACUUUGGGAGGCCAAGGCAGGUGAAUCACCUGAGGUCAGAUGUUCAAGACCAGCCUGACCAACAUGGUAAAACCCCAUCUCUACUAAAAAAAAAAAAAAAAAAAAAAAUUAGCUGGGCGUGGUGGCGGGCGCCUGUAAUCCUAGCUACUUUGGAGGCUGAGGCAGGAGAAUCACCUGAACCCAGGAGGCAGAGGUUGCAGUGAGCCGAGAUCACACCACUGCACUCCAGCCUGGGCAACAAGAGCGAAAUUCCAUCUAAAAAAAAAAAAGAAUCUACAGUCCAAUUUGGUGGUGGCUAAGCGACAAUGUUUUGUUGUCUACGUUGUAGUUGCUGGUGUAUGUGCGGUUGGAAGUAAAUUCAGGAGUAGGGAAAAGUAAUUGCUGUGCGUGAACCCCGGUGGCUGUGGAGUGGCACCCUGGGGGAUCCACCAGCCCGCCCUGGUGUCAGGCUUGGAUGGUUUCCACUUUUCUUGCUGUUAUAAAUAACACCAGUUUAAACACCUUUGUACUUGGAGCACUUUUCUUUGAGUUGUCACCUCAGGAUAGAUGCCCAGGAGUGGGAGUUCUCAUGCAGCUCCUGCCAGUGAUUUCUGGCCGCCGCAGCAGUGUGGGAGUGGAGUUCACGGUCACAGCCUGGCUGUGCGCUGGGUUUCAUAAUAGAUACCAGGUGUAACGCGAUACCGCGGGGUUGUCCUAAUUUGCAUUUCCUUAGGACUAUCCCAGAGUUCUUCAUAGACUCUCUAAGAAACAUCAGGGUUUCCUGGAAAGUGUGAAUUAAGGACAAAUAUUCUAUCUGAUAAAAAAAAAAAAAAAGGGCCGGGCACGGUGGCUCACACCUGUAAUCCAGCACUUUGGGAGGCCGAGGUGGGCUCAAGCGAUCCUCCUGUCUCAGUCUCCUGUGUUGUUCUGACUACAGGAAUGCACCACUGUACCCCACUUUGGAACCCUUUUUAUUGUGAAUAUAAUACACCUCCAGGAAAUUACAUAAAACUUGAAUGUUCAGGGCCGGGCGUGGUGGCUCACGCCUGUAAUCCCAGCACUUUGGGAGGCCGAGGCAGGCGGAUCACGAGGUCAGGAGAUCGAGACCACGGUGAAACCCCGUCUCUACUAAAAAUACAAAAAAUUAGCCGGGUGCGGUGGCGGGCGCCUGUAGUCCCAGCUACUCAGGAGGCUGAGGCAGGAUAAUGGCGUGAACCCGGGAAGCGGAGUUUGCAGUGAGCUGAGAUCGCGCCACUGCACUCCAGCCUGGGUGACAG